RNAcentral lists this ribosomal RNA (244 nucleotides) under uncultured bacterium. RNAcentral's name for it is "partial 16S ribosomal RNA". It matches the Rfam family "Bacterial small subunit ribosomal RNA", at positions 91 to 334 of the family's 1533-position model. The record is from RNAcentral.
CCGACCGGCGCACGGGUGAGUAACGCGUAUGCAACUUACCUAUCAGAGGGGGAUAACCCGGCGAAAGUCGGACUAAUACCGCAUGAAGCAGGGGCCCCGCAUGGGGAUAUUUGCUAAAGAUUCAUCGCUGAUAGAUAGGCAUGCGUUCCAUUAGGCAGUUGGCGGGGUAACGGCCCACCAAACCGACGAUGGAUAGGGGUUCUGAGAGGAAGGUCCCCCACAUUGGUACUGAGACACGGUCCAA